Long non-coding RNA from Eriocheir sinensis (Chinese mitten crab), 642 nucleotides. RefSeq lists it as uncharacterized. Lineage: Eukaryota; Metazoa; Arthropoda; Malacostraca; Decapoda; Varunidae. The transcript has 3 exons. The record is from RefSeq and is a predicted model, not a curated record.
GAGGAAGAAGAGGACUGGCCCCUCGCGAGGGCCGAAAAUAACCCAGGCAAUACGUAUUUCACCACUUUUCCUUGAAGCUAGAAUGAAGAGAAGAUCCACAGCCUAUAAGAAGGCGGUGUAGAGUGCAGGACCGGCCAGGGAAAGGAAGGAAAACGGCAAAGCAGCCUUCAAAUGACGAGUGCCUCCACCACCACCACCACCACCACACCUGUUGUUGCCCCACCCCACAAUAAGCGCUGCGACACACGACGACGCCCGCCGCACCAGACAGAGAGGGGCAUGGGCUCUGCGGAGGACCCGGCAGCCUCAAACUCUGUGCCGGACCAGAUAGCUCUGCUGAGGGAGGACUCUCGGGCCGGCUGCAGCGGUGGACCACCACAGCUGUGAGGAAUACCCUCUAGAUUCGACCAAGUAAACCAAGUAAGAUUCUGUUAUGAAGACGGGCAUGGGCCAGCCAUCAUAUCAGGGGGCAAGAGCUCAGCUGAUCGCUUUUGCCUUCCAAAAUGGCUGACAGUUGUUUUUCCUAAAACAAAAGCGAAGCAGUGUGACGUCAGUGCAACCCCUCUAUAGUACAGAGAAAGCCAAUCCAGUUACAAUAGAGAUCAGUGGGUUACAUGUUACCAGUAGCAGAGCACUACCUUA